AGAGUUUGAUCCUGGCUCAGGACGAACGCUGGCGGCGUGCUUAACACAUGCAAGUGGAGCGACGAACCAGGGCUUGCCCUGGGGCAAAGCCGCGAACGGGUGAGUAACACGUGGGUGAUCUGCCCUGCACUUUGGGAUAAGCCUGGGAAACUGGGUCUAAUACCGAAUACACCUCACUGGCUGCAUGGUCUGGUGGGGGAAAGCUUUUGCGGUGUGGGAUGGGCCCGCGGCCUAUCAGCUUGUUGGUGGGGUGAUGGCCUACCAAGGCGACGACGGGUAGCCGGCCUGAGAGGGUGUCCGGCCACACUGGGACUGAGAUACGGCCCAGACUCCUACGGGAGGCAGCAGUGGGGAAUAUUGCACAAUGGGCGCAAGCCUGAUGCAGCGACGCCGCGUGGGGGAUGACGGCCUUCGGGUUGUAAACCUCUUUCACUAGGGACGAAGCGCAAGUGACGGUACCUAGAGAAGAAGCACCGGCCAACUACGUGCCAGCAGCCGCGGUAAUACGUAGGGUGCGAGCGUUGUCCGGAAUUACUGGGCGUAAAGAGCUCGUAGGUGGUUUGUCGCGUUGUUCGUGAAAACUCACAGCUUAACUGUGGGCGUGCGGGCGAUACGGGCAGACUGGAGUACUGCAGGGGAGACUGGAAUUCCUGGUGUAGCGGUGGAAUGCGCAGAUAUCAGGAGGAACACCGGUGGCGAAGGCGGGUCUCUGGGCAGUAACUGACGCUGAGGAGCGAAAGCGUGGGGAGCGAACAGGAUUAGAUACCCCUGUAGUCC
This 777-nucleotide ribosomal RNA is filed under the name uncultured bacterium. RNAcentral describes it as "bacterial SSU rRNA". It matches the Rfam family "Bacterial small subunit ribosomal RNA", at positions 8 to 796 of the family's 1533-position model. The record is from RNAcentral.